UGACAUUGAACUUUGUAUGAAGGAUUACGGUUCGAUCUUCCGCAACUGCGAUCAGAAGGGGGUUGAAAUCACUUGAUAUUAGAAUUAAUCUCGAACCAAAUUAGACGGUCUAGUGACCAAAGCUGCAUUUAUAGAUAAGUUUGUUUGUGGCCAGAUGGAGGUAAUGAAUAGUGAUGAAUGCAAUUGUUUUCCUUCACACUUCAUAGUCUUGGGGUCGCUUUCUUAGAAACAAAAAUCAAAUUUAGCUUCAAAUCAAUAAGAAGAUCACUAUGACUCACUCACUCUCUAGUCUCUACUGCAAUCACACUCACAAUGGCCACAUUUUUUCUCCCAACCUGUCUUGGUUUCUUUGAAUUUCAAGCAUAUUCCAAAUCACACAAUAACACUCUCUUCCUAACCUUGUCCCCUUUGCCCUAC
This 417-nucleotide long non-coding RNA is filed under the name Trifolium pratense (red clover). RNAcentral describes it as "long non-coding RNA (TPRA_LNC001243)". The record is from RNAcentral. Lineage: Eukaryota; Viridiplantae; Streptophyta; Magnoliopsida; Fabales; Fabaceae.